RNAcentral lists this ribosomal RNA (400 nucleotides) under uncultured bacterium. RNAcentral's name for it is "bacterial SSU rRNA". It matches the Rfam family "Bacterial small subunit ribosomal RNA", at positions 74 to 506 of the family's 1533-position model. The record is from RNAcentral.
GUGGAGCAAUCCAUGAGUAAAGUGGCGACCGGGUGAGUAACACGUGACUAACCUACCCUCGAGUGUGGAAUAACAUCGGGAAACCGAUGCUAAUACCGCAUAACAUCGCAAGAUCAAAGGAGUAAUCCGCUUGAGGAGGGGGUCGCGGCUGAUUAGCUAGUUGGCGGGGUAACGGCCCACCAAGGCGAAGAUCGGUAGCCGGCCUGAGAGGGCGCACGGCCACACUGGAACUGAAACACGGUCCAGACUCCUACGGGAGGCAGCAGUGGGGAAUUUUGCGCAAUGGGGGAAACCCUGACGCAGCAACGCCGCGUGGAGGAUGAAGCCCCUUGGGGUGUAAACUCCUUUCGACCAAGACGAUAAUGACGGUACUGGUGGAAGAAGCACCGGCUAACUCUGU